CGCCCGUUCGCGCUGCCAGCAGCUUCCGCCUGCUACGGUCCUGGCAAGCACCUCGGGAUCCCAUUCCUUCACAGGGACCCUAGCCAGGCAAGCGCGCGCCUCACUGUACCGGAGAGCUCCAAGCACGCGCUUGGUCUGGGGCCCGGACGCUACAUCUGGGAAGGGGUGGGUGGCUGGGUAGAUAGGCGAGGAAGGAUCGUCUCUACCCUCUCUCAAGUAGCUGAGGCCUCCGAAACCUUCCCUAGCUGGAUUUGGGGACAGAGGAGCGCUGUUAAAGCUGAUACAUUCCUGUGGGUCAACUAUGCAACUAACUCAGAUUUUGAGCAAACAAAGCUCUCAAGUUGGUGAUCCUCAGGAGUCUCUGCAUUAGUUGGACAGCUCUUCUGGAAUUAUCUUCUAAGUCAACUGUGGGUUGGGUAGGUGGCUCUGCUGAUUUUUCGCUGGACUUCCACAUUUGGGACGAGUUGGCUGUCAUCAGCUCUAGAAAGGGUGUGGCCGUUUUACAUUGGCUGUUUUCCUCACAUUCCUCAAGCAGACGGAGUCUUGCUCUGUCGCCAGGCUGGAGUGCAGUGACACGAUCUCAGCUCACUGCAACCUCCACCUCCCAGGUUCAAGCGAUUCUCCUGCCUCAGCCUCCCAAGUAGCUGGAACUACAGGCACGCACCACAACACCCAGCUAAUUUUUGUAUUUUCAGUAGAGACAGGGUUUCACCAUGUUGGCCAGGAUGGUCUUGAUCUCUUGACCUCGUGAUCUGCCCGCCUCGGCCUCCCAAAGUUCUGGGAUUACAGACGUGAGCCACCAUGCCCGGCAUAUAUGAAGUUUUAAAAAAUCAGAAUACAGAACAAAAUUUAUUGGGAGAUGAGCUUCUUUCUUUCUCUCUUCAACACCAUCGCCACAUCACCUCCACAUAUACACACACUGAAAAGAUACUGAAAAGACAUAAUAACCAUGGGAAAUGGAGAUUACUGGAUUGUUAAAUGUUCUUUUUGCCUGUCUUUAUUCUCUAACUUUGCUAUAAUGAACAGAAAUUAUUUUUUGAUAAGCAAAAAAUAUUUUAAAUUUAAACAUGUAAAGUAACUUAGUAGUUGUCUUUUCAAAAUAUGUAAGAAUCAUUAGUUCACUAGUUGGUUAAAUAUGUUUUUAAUCCCAACAUCUUGAUAAUUGUCGCAAAAUUGAGGGAACAUUUUUUGAACUCUAAAAUGCUAUAGAAUUGACAGAUCAUUUUUCAGUUCAUAAGUUAUUACUUAUAAUCAGUUUUUUUAUUGUUACUAUGGCAAUAUUUUAUACACAAGAAUGGCUGAGGUUAGGAAUUUGUGCCCUGAAAAUUGUAUCAACAUAUCAAAUAUGAAGUAAAUAACAAUUUCUUGCUUUAAAUAUAACAAAGAUGUGGGAAGAAGUGGUAGGCAAGAGUCUCUGUGUUACCAUGGGAACGAUUAAGUUUUCCAAGGUGCAAACCAGCCUCAUUCCAGCUUCAGGGUCAAUGACUUACUAGCUCAGAGGGAAAUGUAUAAAUAUUUAAGUACAUACCUACUAUCUGUACAGAGUGACUCUCAUUACCCAGAGAACUGCUGUAAAAUAUUAUUUAUUCACAGAUUACACAAAACCAAUCUAAAUUAGUACUUUUAUACAUUCUAUUUGGGGAGUACUUAAGGUGUAUGAGCAAACAAAUUGUUAUCCAGGUCACUCCAGAACUGUUGUAUACAGAUUAAGAAUUGAUGUUGGAUACUAAUUAAAAUCAUUAAAGCAAAAUCAAAAAACACUUUGGCUAGCAUUUCAAUUAUUUUUUAAACAGGAUUUCUUAAAACAAUCCCCAAAGUAGUCUUGUAAUUUGUUCAUUUUAAGGAUCUAUGUUACUCUGAGGCCAAUCAAGGGGGCUAACAGUCUAGUUGGGGAGCCAAGAUAGCCAUUCAUCAAUUCAUUCAUUCAUUCAGUAAAAUGUAUUGAGAACCUACUAUGUACCAAGCAAUGUGCUGGGCACUAAGCAUUGAAGAAUACCUGAAACAUGGCACCUGACCUCAAAAAGCUUAAAAUUAGGAGACAUAGACAUGUAAGUAAAUAACUGCUAUAGGCAAAUCUCAGCAACUGCCACACCUGCUUGCUCCUUUAGCAGAACUUCUCUGAUUGGCCAUAUUCUGCACAUAGUGACCAACUCACCUCUUUUCCCUAUCUGCUUUCCUUGCUAUAGCUGAGAAAAAAGCUGUGGCCCAAAAGUUUCUCCCCUGAGAGGGACAGGAUCAGAUUGUCUUUUCAAGAGUUCCCAUGUGCAAUACAGAGCUGAAGUUGAAGCUGAAAGGAUUCAUAGAGAAAGGCCAGUAUAAAUCUUCAGCAUACCAAAGUUAUGAGAAAGGAGAAAGCUUGCAAUGCAUGUAUAGAGGAGGUGCUGAGGAGUUGGUGGUAGCAGCAGACAAGGGAGGAGAAAUGGAUAGAAUCAUGGUUAUUGUCAAGGUGGAGGAUCCGUGAACUGCAACUGAAGAGGGCUAGUGACAUGACCCAGUUCUUAGGGCUGUCUCUAUUCCUGAAUAUUUACUUAAUAUAAGGCAAUUCUUAUAUAGCAUUAGGGUAAAAAAAAAAAAAAAAGGAUUCGAAGUUUCCGAGAGACUUCUGUUUCAGCCAUAACAGAAUAGUGAAUUUACCUUCCCCCAGUAAAUAGCCAUAAAAUUAAAUAAAGUAAAUAAAACCAACUGUUUUCAGACAUUGGACAAUAGAAAGCACAGAACUCUAUGAUCCUUGAGA
Molecule: long non-coding RNA, 2734 nt
Filed under: Homo sapiens (human)
Lineage: Eukaryota; Metazoa; Chordata; Mammalia; Primates; Hominidae
Description: HSALNT0293881
Source: RNAcentral